AUGUAAUAUGUUUUAGCUAUAGUAUUUGAACACUGCAUGUACUUUCAUUAAUAUAUGUUGUACUACUUUUUUUCAUUAGGUUGAAGCCAGUUUUGUUGCAAAAUAGCAAAUGUUUGGUACUGGUUGGAACUAUGAAAGUAAUACAGGUCUUAUGGUGGAUCAUCAUCCUUUAAAAAACAGCAGGUUAUUAGCAGCAGUUUUACAAAAAAAUAAAGGAUAUAAAUGGCUGUCAAUGGUAAAUGCAGCAUCAGAACGUUCCCCCGGCAAAUUUACUCUGAAAAUUUGGGAAAGUAUGAAUUAGAAAUUGGAAAGGCAAAGAGAUAACCAGAAAACACAGAAUUUAAAAGAGAAGAAUUCAAAUAAAAAGAAUAGAAAGACGGCCCCAUAUGAAAUAGAAACUGAAGUAAACGACAAUGCUUUAGUGCUUGUGACAUUCAGCAAAUUCCUUCUCAUAUUCUUUAUAACAUAUAUAUAUAUAUAUAUAUAGAUCAAUGUGUAAAAUUUGAUUUUCAAACAAGAAGUUUUUUAAGAAAUAAUGACAUUCACUCAGGUAGCAGCUGUCUGUGGAUCAAACCUAUUCCAGAGAUGUAAUAUGCCAAGAUGUGACAUUUUAAAUGAAGGGAGCAAAAUAACUGGUAUUUUCUUUUCGUUAUGCCACUAAUAGUAAUAUGAUAUAUCUGAAUGGGAGCAACCUGUACUAUUCAAUAUGGAUCGAAGGAUUGACAAUUUUGACAGGGAACAAAAUGAACUCUAAUUAUGUUUAUAUGACUAUCAAUCAGUAUUUGACUGAAUCAGAGGAGUAAACUAUAUACAUAUUUUUAAAUAUAACAGUCUAUAUUUUUGCUUAAUUAUUGAGGCAUUAAAAAUAAAGAAAGUUGAAAAACCUUUGAAAAAGUUAUAAUGUCAUCAUUUUUUGCUUAUGUUACUAUGACAACUGAAAAUAUAUAAUGUAUUAUUAUUAUGCUUCAUCAAACUUAAAUCAUUAAUUGAGGACAGGAUGACAAAGUCUUGACAUUUUUUUAAUCCAUUUACUUGCAUGACUGGUAUCUAUCAAUCGAUAAUUGAAAGAAAAAAAUAUAUGGUGAUUUUCGCUAACUGCUGAGUAAUUUGUUUUGCUCGUUUUAGACCACAGUAAUGAUUAUAUAAGCUGCAUUAUCAUAAUAUUUGUUUACAUUUACAUAAUGUGUUGUAGCUCUGAAAUCAUGGUAUUUGAUCUCUUUUUGCCUGUUAGGUAGUUACUCUUGCACAUCAGAACAAUGCAAAAACUUGAAUUUUCCAAUUUCUUGUCAUGUUGCCAUGGUAACCAUUGUUCAUAGAAACAAAAAUUGCUUUCAGUUGAUUGUCUUGUGAAACUGUAUUAUUCUGUGUAAGUUUAACAAAGGAUAUGACAACAUGUGUCACACUUUGUACAUACAAUUUUGAAAGAUAUACAAAGAACUGCUGUUGAUCACUGUGUCGUUAGGGGUCACAAAAACGUUUUUAGGUCAAAAAAUAGUCAGGUAACCCAUAUUUUUCUUUUUAUUUUUUCAAAGCUCAUUGUUUUGACCAUCUUAUGUCAAAUUUUAAAAAAUAUUCAUUGGACCAUUUUUGUUUGAAAUUUAAGAAAAAUAGAAAUUUUUAACAAAAUCUGUGUUUUUUGUGUGCAGCAGUGUUGAUGAAAUUUAAGCCGAAAUUAAUAAAUAAAAAUAAAACUGCCAUUAUUUG
Long non-coding RNA from Mytilus californianus (California mussel), 1704 nucleotides. RefSeq lists it as uncharacterized. NCBI's taxonomy places the organism in Eukaryota, Metazoa, Mollusca, Bivalvia, Mytilida, Mytilidae. The record is from RefSeq and is a predicted model, not a curated record. The transcript is spliced from 3 exons.